CCCACAUCACCAAGCUACAGCCCCACAUCGCCGAGCUAUAGUCCAACAUCUCCGGUUUAUAGCCCGACCUCACCAGCAUACAGCCCGACAUCUCCUGCAUACAGCCCGACUUCGCCAUCUUACAGCCCUACUUCUCCAUCAUACAGCCCAACUUCUCCCUCAUACAGCCCUACAUCUCCCUCAUACAGCCCGACUUCGCCCUCAUACAGCCCGACGUCGCCCUCAUACAGCCCUACAUCCCCCUCAUACAGCCCUACUUCGCCCUCAUACAGCCCUACAUCGCCUGCAUACAGCCCUACAUCGCCUGGUUACAGCCCGACGUCACCGAGCUACAGCCCUACUUCACCGAACUACAGCCCAACUUCACCGAGCUACAAUCCUUCUUCGGCCAAGUACAGUCCUUCACAUGCUUAUUCUCCGAGCAGCCCAAGGAUGAUGAGCCCGUACAGUCAGACUUCUCCGAACUACAGGUAUUCUGUUGAUAGAUAGACUACUUUCCUUUUGGUGUUGUGCUCCAUGCAUGUCUAUGCUCUAUUUUGAUUACAUCUCCGUUUCUCCUCUCCAGUCCGACCUCACCGACCUACUCGCCCACCUC
RNAcentral lists this long non-coding RNA (595 nucleotides) under Hordeum vulgare. RNAcentral's name for it is "long non-coding RNA (HVUL_LNC019307)". The record is from RNAcentral. Lineage: Eukaryota; Viridiplantae; Streptophyta; Magnoliopsida; Poales; Poaceae.